RNAcentral lists this ribosomal RNA (378 nucleotides) under uncultured bacterium. Its description in RNAcentral is "bacterial SSU rRNA". It matches the Rfam family "Bacterial small subunit ribosomal RNA", at positions 524 to 898 of the family's 1533-position model. The record is from RNAcentral.
UACAGGGGAUGCAAGUGUUAUCCGGAAUUAUUGGGCGUAAAGCGUCUGCAGGUUGAUAUUUAAGUCUUUUGUUAAAGGUCUUGGCUUAACCAAGAAUCUGUAAAAGAAACUGGGUAUCUGGAGUAUAGUAGAGAUAAAGGGAAUUUUCAGUGGAGCGGUGAAAUGCGUAGAUAUUGGAAAGAACACCAAGGGCGAAGGCACUUUGUUGGGCUAUGACUGACACUCAGAGACGAAAGCUAGGGGAGCAAACAGGAUUAGAUACCCUGGUAGUCCUAGCUGUAAACGAUGGAUACUAGAUGUUGUGUUCUUUUUAAAGGGCGCAGUGUCGUAGCUAACGCGUUAAGUAUCCCGCCUGGGAAGUAUGCUCGCAAGAGUGAA